UAGUCCACGCCGUAAACGAUGAGUGCUAGAUAUCGGGGAAAUUUAUUUUUCGGUUUCGCAGCUAACGCAUUAAGCACUCCGCCUGGGGACUACGAUCGCAAGAUUAAAACUCAAAGGAAUUGACGGGGGCUCGCACAAGUGGUGGAGCAUGCGGUUUAAUUCGAUGCUACGCGAAAAACCUUACCAACCCUUGACAUGGUAGUCGCAGAUCACAGAGAUGAGAUCUUUCAGUUCGGCUGGACUACACACAGGUGUUGCAUGGCUGUCGUCAGCUCGUGUCGUGAGAUGUUGGGUUAAGUCCCGCAACGAGCGAAACCCUCAUCCUUACUUGCCAGCGGUUCGGCCGGGAACUAUAAGGAAACUGCCCGUGAUAAGCGGGAGGAAGGUGAGGAUGACGUCAAGUCUUCAUGGCCCUUACGGGUUGGGCUACACACGUGCUACAAUGGCAACUACAGUGGGUUAAUCCCCAAAAGUUGUCUCAGUUCGGAUUGGGGUCUGCAACUCGACCCAUGAAGUCGGAA
RNAcentral lists this ribosomal RNA (521 nucleotides) under uncultured bacterium. RNAcentral's name for it is "bacterial SSU rRNA". It matches the Rfam family "Bacterial small subunit ribosomal RNA", at positions 791 to 1331 of the family's 1533-position model. The record is from RNAcentral.